UUAGGUAGCUGAAGAAAAAUCAGAGUUCAGAGCAAUUACCUAUUGGAAUUAUUGGAAUUAUUGGAAUUGUUGCCUCUGCAUCCUUGUCUUCGAUUUCAACAAUCAUCAGGACACAUCUCCGCCUCGAAGUUUGAGAAUUUGGUGAAAAAUCAGGGGAACUGGCUUGCAGAUUGUUGAACGACGAACUGAUGCUUUAAAAUCCAUAUGAUUGUUUUACAACUAGACCUUACCCCAGAUUGAUUAAGUUCAUCAAAUUUUAUUUGAUCAACUAAAUCGUUUGACAUGUGCCUGUUCCCUCAGUCUAGUCAAGUGAUCAGAAGCAUAUUCAUCACUUGAUAAGACUAGUUCCCUGUAUUGGAACUGCAUUGGAUCUUUCAAAACCAACAACUCAAGACUUUACAUUCAAGUCAAUACAAAUCAGACAGAACAUUGCACCAGACUAUUGUUCAAGCACAACAAAGGUUCAUCUUUAUCACUUGUCAAUUAUGACGAGGGUCGCACGCCACGAGCCUUAAGUAGUAGAGAAGGAAUGAGAUGGAGAAUUUCUACCCUCAUUCUGAAUAUCUUGGGUACAAGAAGAAUGACCCAGUUGCUUAGAGUAUUCACCUAUACUCAUAGACUUUAGUGAAAUUCAAAUCAAAUAAUUGUCAAGUCUUUUUCCCCACAAGCAACACUUUAUCAUCAUGAGCAACAAAAAGAUCUUUCUUCAACACUUGCCAAUUAUGAUGGGAUUACACGCCACGAACCUUAAGCAGUAGAGAAGGAAUGAGAAAGAGAAUUUAUAU
Lathyrus oleraceus (garden pea) is the source of this 785-nucleotide long non-coding RNA. RefSeq lists it as uncharacterized. The record is from RefSeq and is a predicted model, not a curated record. The transcript has 3 exons. Lineage: Eukaryota; Viridiplantae; Streptophyta; Magnoliopsida; Fabales; Fabaceae.